AUGUGGCACAAUGAGUCAGUGUGUCUGGCUGUUAACCAGUAGGUUGGUGGUUCAAACCUGCCCAGGGAUA
Non-coding RNA from Podarcis lilfordi (Lilford's wall lizard), 70 nucleotides. Lineage: Eukaryota; Metazoa; Chordata; Lepidosauria; Squamata; Lacertidae. The record is from the annotation of a GenBank genome assembly.